This 199-nucleotide long non-coding RNA is filed under the name Carica papaya (papaya). RNAcentral describes it as "long non-coding RNA (CPAP_LNC014902)". Lineage: Eukaryota; Viridiplantae; Streptophyta; Magnoliopsida; Brassicales; Caricaceae. The record is from RNAcentral.
AGGAGAAACUCGAAAGUAAAAGCUAUGAAUAUGGCUAUGGAGUCUUUAGGCGUCCCCUUCGUCGUCCUCCUGCGGAACAGGCUCGGGAACAAUGUCUUCCUGAUCUGAAAUGAUUAAAUAAGGAAUGAGCUACACUAGCCCAGUAAAGACAUCACGAUAUCUCACCAUCACGGAGGUAAAGGUGGGUAGAAAACACAAA